RNAcentral lists this ribosomal RNA (639 nucleotides) under Vishniacozyma victoriae. RNAcentral describes it as "eukaryotic LSU rRNA". It matches the Rfam family "Eukaryotic large subunit ribosomal RNA", at positions 38 to 667 of the family's 3401-position model. Lineage: Eukaryota; Fungi; Basidiomycota; Tremellomycetes; Tremellales; Bulleribasidiaceae. The record is from RNAcentral.
GCAUAUCAAUAAGCGGAGGAAAAGAAACUAACUAGGAUUCCCUUAGUAACGGCGAGUGAACCGGGAUGAGCUCAAAUUUAAAAUCUGGCGUCUUUCAGGCGUCCGAGUUGUAAUCUAUAGAGGCGUUUUCCGCGCCGGACCGCGUCCAAGUCUCUUGGAAUAGAGUAUCAAAGAGGGUGACAAUCCCGUACUUGACGCGACAACCGGUGCUCUGUGAUACGUUCUCAAUGAGUCGAGUUGUUUGGGAAUGCAGCUCUAAAUGGGUGGUAAAUUCCAUCUAAGGCUAAAUAUUGGCGAGAGACCGAUAGCGAACAAGUACCGUGAGGGAAAGAUGAAAAGCACUUUGGAAAGAGAGUUAAACAGCACGUGAAAUUGUUAAAAGGGAAACGAUUGAAGUCAGUCGUGUGAAAGGUAUUCAGCCGUCUCUGGCGGUGUAUUUGCCUUUCACGGGUCAACAUCAGUUUGAUCCGGUAGAAAAAGGCAGGAGGAAGGUGGCACCCUCGGGUGUGUUAUAGCCUCUUGUCAUAUGUGCCGGAUCAGACUGAGGAACGCAGCUUGCCGCAAGGCCGGGGUUCGCCCACGUACAAGCUUAGGAUGUUGACAUAAUGGCUUUAAACGACCCGUCUUGAAACACGGACC